GGAAUAAAAGUCGUAACAAGGUUUCCGUAGGUGAACCUGCGGAAGGAUCAUUAUUGUAUAACCGAGGUGCGAGGGCUGUCGCUGACCCGAAAGGUCGUGCACGCCCGAGUGCCCUCACACACAUCCAUCUCACCCCUAUGUGCACCACCGCGUGGGUCCCCCUUUGGCUUGUUCGGAGGGGGGCUUACGUUUUCACACAAACUUUGUAUGCAGUGUAGAAUGUAUUUUUUGUUUUUGCGAUCACGCAAUCAAUACAACUUUCAACAACGGAUCUCUUGGCUCUC
This 284-nucleotide unclassified non-coding RNA is filed under the name plant metagenome. Its description in RNAcentral is "partial contains small subunit ribosomal RNA, internal transcribed spacer 1, and 5.8S ribosomal RNA". The stretch from base 1 to 53 matches the Rfam family "Eukaryotic small subunit ribosomal RNA", at positions 1779 to 1831 of the family's 1831-position model. The record is from RNAcentral.